UGAGUUGCCAAUUUCCAAUUUGACUUGGCUGUUUUUUUUUGUUGUCUAUACCCUACUGAAAUAGGCCAUUCGACUCAUUUGUUCGUGGCAGAAGAGAGCAGCAGUGUGCCCGUAAUAUGAUAGCAAUAUGAUAGUUUGCUAUCAUAUCAUGCACCUCGCCGGGGUGUUACGGUGUCGCGCGGUGCAAAAUUAUCGUUCCGGUGGAAGCCCCGGCGCGGUCCAUCAUUGCGGAAAUUACGGUCGCGUUCGCGAGAUAUUUGUGUACUCUGAGAAUAUUAUUUAACUCAAAUUCAAAUAUUCAGGAUUAAAUGGCUACGAUUUAAGUGGGGUGGUAAAUGUUUGGGAUUCGUUAAAGCGGCUAGCUUUAAAUGUACUGGGUCAGCUUUCGAUUCCAGGUUGUAAAGAGCAAGGAACAAUUUAGAUUUGCGGAAUCCGUCAAGGAUAUUAUUUCCAAUAAAAAAAAAAUAAUUUUAUUAAUUAAAAUGCUAAUCAUUAUUUAGUAAAAUAAUAUUACUAUAUAAUAACAUUCGAUAAAAACGUGUUAAAUUUAUCGUUUAGUAAACUACAAAAUUUAUUGUCAUCCAUCAAAAAAACAGCUGAUGAUGGCAAAACUCAAAAUGUUUGCUCUGAAUUGUGAAAUUUGUAACAUAUACGGAUUAGCAAUCGUUUUAGCUGUUGUUCAGCAAUAUAAAAUGUUGUUGAAAAUCUGUUGGUGGCGUUGGAAAGAGAGAAAAACAACAUAAAUGAAUUCGACGAGGAGUUUGUUGCAGUGUGAAAUUUGGUGGUACAACACCAAAAAUAUACAUAACAAAAACCGAAACAAUACAAAAAGAAGAGAGCAGAAGAUGGUGGUGGUAUGUUUAAUGAACAUUUGAAUGUAUGUAUGUAUAUGUUUUUUACGAUUAGUAUCUGUCAUCGGGCAUCAUUAAUCCGUACAUCAGAUUUAGCGUAAUAAUAGUUUGAUGUUUAAAUCGUUUAAAUCGGCAAUAUCGUGCAGCACAGUAGACAUUACAGAAGGAGUACCACAAAUCCUGUGUGAGAUACCACGAGUUUUAAGGCUUUGCUGUCUGGUCACAGACAAAUCAAAAAAACACCAAGCAGUCGCGCUCUCUCACUGAGCAGAAUGUUUUUUGCCUCUUCGCUUAUGAGACCUCUUUCUUGAGCCAACACACGAUUUUGUUUCACAAUAACAACUUUGGUCAAGCGCUCACAGAAAAAGUUUCUGUAGAUGAAGGGAACCAAAAAAGUUAAGUUUUUAGUUUUCUGCUUAUUUUGGGUUAUAUGAGUUGUAAUAUAUUUUUAUAGAAUUGGGAAAAUUUUUUAAACUGAAGAUAGAUGAUGAAGGGGAUUUGGGAUAAUAAUGAAGACUAUACGUGUUAGAAAUUGUCUGCAUUUUGUCCUAAUAAUAUCUGAAAAAUAGGUUAUAAACAUUAAGCAUGCACAUUAUUGUGUACAUAUGUAAAUAGAUAUAAUUUAUUAACUGCAAACUUUGUAAUUAUAUUUUGAUGUAUGGUAUUUAAUAAUUAAUAAAUGAAUAUAUAUCAUAUAAUUUAUUUAUGAGCAUGCACAUCUGUUUCAAUUCCUUGUUCCAAUUUCAGGCAAUACCGCAAUCGGUGCUAUCGAAAACUGUAUGUAAAGCCUUACAAAUAGUUAUACACAUAUUAUUAUGUUUGUGUGUGUGUGUGUGUUCUAAUAAUCAGUGGCGAUCAAACUUGAUUAAAAAUAAAUAAUUGAUAUAGUUACAACAUAUUCAAUGUCUGGAAAUACAUGCAGUGGUUGGCACUUACUUAGGGCUAAGAUAUUUUUAUCGUCCGCGAUAUACUAUCAAUUUGUUUCGCGAAUAUUUGAAUUUUAAAUGCAAUACCGCAAUCGGUGCUAUCGAAAACUGUAUGUAAAGCCUUACAAAUAGUUAUACACAUAUUAUUAUGUUUGUGUGUGUGUGUGUGUUCUAAUAAUCAGUGGCGAUCAAACUUGAUUAAAAAUAAAUAAUUGAUAUAGUUACAACAUAUUCAAUGUCUGGAAAUACAUGCAGUGGUUGGCACUUACUUAGGGCUAAGAUAUUUUUAUCGUCCGCGAUAUACUAUCAAUUUGUUUCGCGAAUAUUUGAAUUUUAAAUAACGGUCUACCCGGAACUUCAAAACAAAUUUGCAUAUUCAAAUGCAAGCACGCAAAGAGUAAAGUGAACGUUGAUAAUAAUAUUAAAAAUAACGCGAUUCCCUAAGAUAAAAUACAUAAGUUCGAUUUCUGAUACAUACAGCUGCGCCGAAAAAAAUAGCACCAGGGGACUAGUGUGUCUAUAUUGACGGAUUUUGCAUAAGCAAUGGUUCUAAUGAACGUUGUUAAGAGUAAUAUGUAAACUUUAAGGUAUAAUUUAUCGUAUCCCAGAGCACUGGUAUGAUUUGCAAACUCCAAAUGAAAAUAUUUGAAAAGAAAAGGAUUUUAUCAGAAAUUUGGGCACCAACAAAAAUAGCACCAAUUUACAAAGAAAUCGAAAAACUAUUAAAUUCAAAGAAACUUUCCACAUUUUUUUGUAAAAUAUGUUACUUUAGUUGUAUUUAAAGGUUGGCAUUUUGUUGUAAAACCUUUGGCAGCAACAACAGCAGCUCAACAUAUUGGAAUUAAAGCUCACCUAAUUUUCGCAUCUUUUCCUUGGGAUAUUGAUCCACGAACCAUGCAGGAUACCCCAAACAUAUUUAUUGUUCUUUGAUUCCGCAUUAGAAACAUAUUUUUUGACUUGACCCAAAAUAUUAGCAAUGGGGCUCAAGUCUGGAGACUGAACAGGCCAAUCUAUUGCACUAAGUGAAUUGUGCUCGAACCACUUUCGAGCUUUCUUUCUAGUUCGUUUUGGGUCAUUUUCCUGCUGGAAGACACAAAACAACUCUAUUUCGAAUUCUACAUAAAGCAGAAUCACUGUUUCUUUGAUAUUGACAUAGACAUGUUGAUCCAUAAUGGGUUUGUGCCAUGUAUUGGAUCACCUACUUAGUACGAAAAUCAUUCCCACACGAUCUUGCUUGUUUUCUAUGUCUAAUGAAUUUACAAGUGAGUCAGGGGGUUGUAUUCUGCAUUCGGUAGUCGUUUCAAAAAAGAACAAGACCCUUUUACACCAAAAAAUUAAUUUUGGCUUUAGUCGGACCACAGGAUGUUUCUCCAUUUUCUUUGGCCCAACUUCAGUGCUAUUUUGCAUAACAAACUUUUUUUGCCCUAUGCCUUCCCG
Long non-coding RNA from Drosophila miranda, 3214 nucleotides. RefSeq lists it as uncharacterized. Lineage: Eukaryota; Metazoa; Arthropoda; Insecta; Diptera; Drosophilidae. The record is from RefSeq and is a predicted model, not a curated record. The transcript is spliced from 3 exons.